GUACUGUCAACAUUUGCCUUUAAAAUCAUAACCGUCAUUGAUGUCACCGUCCAUUCAAUUGCAACAACCCUUACCAUCAUCCAGCCUACAACCACAUUCGCUGCCAUCCUCUGGUUACAUCGCAACUACUUGGUUCUCCCGCACUAUCACCAAUGGAAGUGUUUCAAGGUCGUCACACAUGGCUUUCGCAAAGGUGGAGAU
Molecule: long non-coding RNA, 201 nt
Filed under: Glycine max (soybean)
Lineage: Eukaryota; Viridiplantae; Streptophyta; Magnoliopsida; Fabales; Fabaceae
Description: long non-coding RNA (GMAX_LNC003644)
Source: RNAcentral